AUCUACCUCCUACACUACCCAGUGGAGGGAAUGAGAGAUGCAGUAUCACUGAAGAGAGGACAAAUGAGAGGAGAGGGCAGGAGAGAAGUGGAGAGAAGAAGAGAAGAGGAGACAUUGAGCAUCUUUAUAGCAACUGUACUUUGGGGUGGAGCUUGUAGGUAAACUAAGCAGAAAUUUUCAAUUGUAAAACUUGCAGAUGAAGUUGGUUUGGAGUAUUCAGGUUCUGUUGUGCUAUUAGUCAGUUUGACUUCCAACCCCAGCCAUGUUGUUCAUCUGGUCACUUAUUAUGUUCUCAGUAAUAGGAGGCAGUUAUGAGCAGACUAUCGAGCCAAACCAACAUGAAGUGUAUGCAGAAGUGGGUAGUAAUAUUCUUCUUUCCUGCAACUACUCCUCAGCGUACAAUCUACUAUGGUAUAAACAGUCUCCAGGAUCAGCUCCCCAAUAUCUUCUGCUCAUCCCGCACUCCACUGGGACUGAAUAUAGAGAUGACUCUCUUGACUCUCGCUUCUCUGGUAAACUGAACAAAGAGAAGACCCGUGUGGAUCUGGAGAUCUCCUCUGCUGAAGUGACAGACUCUGCUCUGUACUACUGUGCUCUGAGGCCCACAGUGACAGGAAACCCAGAAACACUGUACAAAAACCUAACAUCGUCUGAGAGAGUAUUUCUACUCUGUAGUUCCAGGUUUUAUUUGACAGUAGUUCCAUCAAGUGGCGUCAACAUGAACCCAUUAUAUUAUGUCAAGAGGAGGAGAAUAGUGUUAUUCAUACCAUGUAAUGAGUGGAACUGAUUCAACCAGAGAGUGAAUGUUCCAAGAGAAGAUCAUUAGAGAAGUCUCUGUCUAACACCCAGUCGCUAUGAUGCUGCUCUAAUCAGUCCUGUUUUUGUGCACUUGUUGGUAAGAAUUCCCUCUCAUUAAAACCUUUUGGGGCUAGGGGGCAGUAUUUUCACAGCCGGAUGAAAAACGCACCCAAUUUGAACAGGUUACUACUCUG
Salmo salar (Atlantic salmon) is the source of this 992-nucleotide non-coding RNA. The record is from the annotation of a RefSeq genome assembly. Lineage: Eukaryota; Metazoa; Chordata; Actinopteri; Salmoniformes; Salmonidae.